This 426-nucleotide ribosomal RNA is filed under the name uncultured bacterium. Its description in RNAcentral is "partial 16S ribosomal RNA". It matches the Rfam family "Bacterial small subunit ribosomal RNA", at positions 354 to 796 of the family's 1533-position model. The record is from RNAcentral.
GUGAGGAAUUUUCCGCAAUGGGCGAAAGCCUGACGGAGCAAUGCCGCGUGAAGGAUGAAGGCCUAUGGGUUGUAAACUUCUUUUCUUAGAGAAGAAUAUUGACGGUAUCUGAGGAAUAAGCAUCGGCUAACUCUGUGCCAGCAGCCGCGGUAAGACAGAGGAGGCAAGCGUUAUCCGGAAUGAUUGGGCGUAAAGCGUCUGUAGGUGGCUUCAAAAGUCUCCUGUCAAAGAUCAGGGCUUAACCCUGGGCCGGCAGGCGAAACUCUGAGGCUAGAGUUUGGUAGGGGCAGAGAGAAUUCCCGGUGGAGCGGUGAAAUGCGUAGAGAUCGGGAGGAACACCAAAGGCGAAAGCACUCUGCUGGGCCACAACUGACACUGAGAGACGAAAGCGAGGGGAGCAAAAGGGAUUAGAAACCCUGGUAGUCC